Tetranychus urticae (two-spotted spider mite) is the source of this 758-nucleotide long non-coding RNA. RefSeq lists it as uncharacterized. The record is from RefSeq and is a predicted model, not a curated record. NCBI's taxonomy places the organism in Eukaryota, Metazoa, Arthropoda, Arachnida, Trombidiformes, Tetranychidae.
CUUUUUAUUCAUUUUUUUUACUUUACCUUUUGUCUUUGGUUACUUGUAAUGUUUGACUUUUACUUUAAUUUGUUUAUAAUUUACAUCACAAUUGGAUUUAACAGGAACAAUUUAGUCUAUUAAUUUUAUUGUCAAGUUGAUUGUUGCUGUUGAAAUUUAAAUCUAAAUUAUGUUUUUACUUUGUUAUUGUGAACAAAUUGGUUCCAUGUAAGCCAUGCCAUUUUGUAGGGAUCUCAAGGCUUUACCCAUUGAGUUUAUGUUUAAGUGUACUAAUGCGAUUUGUCAAAUGUUUUGAAAGUGACUUGAAGUGUUCAUCUUCUACUUAAAAUGAAUAAUAAAUUCAUUUUGGCAUUUAUUUUGGAAAAGGAAAUAAUCAAAUCUUUUUCUUUUAUUCUAUCCAUCUCCGACAAGUUCAUUAGCUAACCUUCAGACGAUUGAAUUUCAAUGUUGCGACUCCAUCUUACACUUGCCAUUCAUCUACAACUCUGAAUUAGCAUGUGUUCAUGAGGGUUUUCAUUCUUAGAGGAAAAGUUCACCUAUUUGGUUGCAGUCUGUUACAACUGUACAAGAAAAGUUUCAACAAUUGUUUACUUUAACUGUAAAUAUAGCCUUUAGCUACACUCAAGCCUGUUAAUCAUUAAAAGCAGAAUCAUUGAAAUACUCAGGAAAUGCAGGGAAGAGGUAGAAAGAUAGAGGUUAAAUGUACAGUUGAUUGAAAAUUAAAUACAAAUAAAAGGAAUUGUUGCUCAUUAAUGUUA